AUUGAACGCUGGCGGCAUGCCUUACACAUGCAAGUCGAACGGCAGCACGGGAGCAAUCCUGGUGGCGAGUGGCGAACGGGUGAGUAAUAUAUCGGAACGUGCCCAGUCGUGGGGAUAACGUAGCGAAAGCUACGCUAAUACCGCAUACGUUCUAUGGAUGAAAGCGGGGGGAUCGCAAGACCUCGCGCGAUUGGAGCGGCCGAUAUCAGAUUAGGUAGUUGGUGAGGUAAAGGCUCACCAAGCCGACGAUCUGUAGCUGGUCUGAGAGGACGACCAGCCACACUGGGACUGAGACACGGCCCAGACUCCCUACGGGAGGCAGCAGUGGGGAAUUUUGGACAAUGGGCGCAAGCCUGAUCCAGCAAUGCCGCGUGCAGGAUGAAGGCCUUCGG
This 392-nucleotide ribosomal RNA is filed under the name uncultured bacterium. RNAcentral describes it as "bacterial SSU rRNA". It matches the Rfam family "Bacterial small subunit ribosomal RNA", at positions 30 to 421 of the family's 1533-position model. The record is from RNAcentral.